RNAcentral lists this ribosomal RNA (844 nucleotides) under uncultured fungus. RNAcentral describes it as "SSU rRNA". It matches the Rfam family "Eukaryotic small subunit ribosomal RNA", at positions 564 to 1440 of the family's 1831-position model. Lineage: Eukaryota; Fungi. The record is from RNAcentral.
GUGCCAGCAGCCGCGGUAAUUCCAGCUCCAAUAGCGUAUAUUAAAGUUGUUGCAGUUAAAAAGCUCGUAGUUGAAACUUGGGCCUGGCUGGCGGGUCCGCCUCACCGCGUGCACUCGUCCGGCCGGGCCUUCCUUCUGAAGAACCUCAUGCCCUUCACUGGGCGUGCUGGGGAAUCAGGACUUUUACUUUGAAAAAAUUAGAGUGUUCAAAGCAGGCCUUUACUCGAAUACGUUAGCAUGGAAUAAUAAAAUAGGGCGUGCGUUUCUAUUUUGUUGGUUUCUAGAGACGCCGCAAUGAUUAACAGGAACAGUCGGGGGCAUCAGUAUUCAGUUGUCAGAGGUGAAAUUCUUGGAUUUACUGAAGACUAACUACUGCGAAAGCAUUUGCCAAGGAUGUUUUCAUUAAUCAGUGAACGAAAGUUAGGGGAUCGAAGACGAUCAGAUACCGUCGUAGUCUUAACCGUAAACUAUGCCGACUAGGGAUCGGGCGAUGUUCUUUUUCUGACUCGCUCGGCACCUUACGAGAAAUCAAAGUUUUUGGGUUCUGGGGGGAUUAUGGUCGCAAGGCUGAAACUUAAAGAAAUUGACGGAAGGUCACCACCAGGCGUGGAGCCUGCGGCUUAAUUUGACUCAACACGGGGAAACUCACCAGGUCCAGAUGAAAUAAGGAUUGACAGAUUGAGAGCUCUUUUCUUGAUUUUUCAGGUGGUGAUGCAUGGCCGUUCUUAGUUCGUGGGGUGACUUGUCUGCUUAAUUGCGAUAACGAGCGAGACCUUACUCUGCUAAAUAGCAGGCUAACUUUGAUGAUCGCGGCUUCUUAGAGAGACUAUCACUCAGUUGAUGG